GCCUGGGUGGCUCAGUUGGUUGGGCAUCUGCCUUCAGCUCAGGUCAUGAUCUCACAGUUCAUGGGUUUGAGCCCCAUGUCAGGCU
This 85-nucleotide transfer RNA is filed under the name Felis catus (domestic cat). It matches the Rfam family "tRNA". From Rfam's summary of the family: Transfer RNA (tRNA) molecules are approximately 80 nucleotides in length. Their secondary structure includes four short double-helical elements and three loops (D, anti-codon, and T loops). Further hydrogen bonds mediate the characteristic L-shaped molecular structure. tRNAs have two regions of fundamental functional importance: the anti-codon, which is responsible for specific mRNA codon recognition, and the 3' end, to which the tRNAs corresponding amino acid is attached (by aminoacyl-tRNA synthetases). tRNAs cope with the degeneracy of the genetic code in two manners: having more than one tRNA (with a specific anti-codon) for a particular amino acid; and 'wobble' base-pairing, i.e. permitting non-standard base-pairing at the 3rd anti-codon position. The record is from Rfam by way of RNAcentral. Lineage: Eukaryota; Metazoa; Chordata; Mammalia; Carnivora; Felidae.